RNAcentral lists this long non-coding RNA (339 nucleotides) under Elaeis guineensis (African oil palm). Its description in RNAcentral is "long non-coding RNA (EGUI_LNC054056)". The record is from RNAcentral. Lineage: Eukaryota; Viridiplantae; Streptophyta; Magnoliopsida; Arecales; Arecaceae.
AGAUACUGAGAGUGGCGAGCUUCCUGGUAGGAUCGAUAUCUACCAGCGAAUCUACCAGUGACGGUCAGGGGAGUGGACGAUGGGGAGCCAGGAGCUCUUUAUAAGUUUUUUCAAUUAAUUUUUUAUUCAUAUUUUGACCUUUAUUAAAAAAUUAAAAUAACUCUUAAUUUUAUUUUCAGGAUUGUGUGAUCAACAUGAGAUCCCAGUCUAUCCCUGAGGGCUCGACCGCACCCACAAAUGAUGAGAUCUGUGAUCAGGUGCUCGGUACGAGACCCUGUUAUGUUAGGGGUCUAGGAUAUGGGACCAUUGCUCCUUCAUCUUCAUGAUCAUCUAAGGCUG